GCUAGGCAUGGUGGCACAUGUCUAUAAUCCAAGUGACUUGGGAAGCUGAGGCAAGAGGAUCAUGAGUUCAAGACCAGGCUUAGCAACUUAGUGAGACUUUGUCUCAA
Molecule: small RNA, 107 nt
Filed under: Marmota monax (woodchuck)
Lineage: Eukaryota; Metazoa; Chordata; Mammalia; Rodentia; Sciuridae
Source: RNAcentral